GAUGAACGCUGGCGGCGUGCCUAAUACAUGCAAGUCAAGCGAACAGGCGAGGAGCUUGCUCCUCUGACGUUAGCGGCGGACGGGUGAGUAACACGUGGAUAACCUACCUAUAAGACUGGGAUAACUUCGGGAAACCGGAGCUAAUACCGGAUAAUAUAUUGAACCGCAUGGUUCAAUAGUGAAAGACGGUUUUGCUGUCACUUAUAGAUGGAUCCGCGCCGCAUUAGCUAGUUGGUAAGGUAACGGCUUACCAAGGCAACGAUGCGUAGCCGACCUGAGAGGGUGAUCGGCCACACUGGAACUGAGACACGGUCCAGACUCCUACGGGAGGCAGCAGUAGGGAAUCUUCCGCAAUGGGCGAAAGCCUGACGGAGCAACGCCGCGUGAGUGAUGAAGGUCUUCGGAUCGUAAAACUCUGUUAUUAGGGAAGAACAAAUGUGUAAGUAACUAUGCACGUCUUGACGGUACCUAAUCAGAAAGCCACGGCUAACUACGUG
Molecule: ribosomal RNA, 497 nt
Filed under: uncultured bacterium
Lineage: Bacteria
Description: partial 16S ribosomal RNA
Rfam family: Bacterial small subunit ribosomal RNA
Source: RNAcentral